Molecule: small RNA, 70 nt
Filed under: Aquamicrobium defluvii
Lineage: Bacteria; Pseudomonadati; Pseudomonadota; Alphaproteobacteria; Hyphomicrobiales; Phyllobacteriaceae
Description: suhB
Source: RNAcentral
AGGUUUAGCCUUUUUGGCACUUCCAUCAAACUCAGCCGGAUCUUCUGAUCCGGCUUUUUUGUUUGCGAUU